UGGCGGACGGGUGAGUAAUGUCUGGGAAACUGCCUGAUGGAGGGGGAUAACUACUGGAAACGGUAGCUAAUACCGCAUAACGUCGCAAGACCAAAGAGGGGGACCUUAGGGCCUCUUGCCAUCGGAUGUGCCCAGAUGGGAUUAGCUAGUAGGUGGGGUAACGGCUCACCUAGGCGACGAUCCCUAGCUGGUCUGGGAGGAUGACCAGCCACACUGGAACUGAGACACGGUCCAG
Molecule: ribosomal RNA, 235 nt
Filed under: uncultured bacterium
Lineage: Bacteria
Description: partial 16S ribosomal RNA
Rfam family: Bacterial small subunit ribosomal RNA
Source: RNAcentral